AAGGAAAUCGUCGCCGGCGCGACUUCGGCGCCGC
This 34-nucleotide small RNA is filed under the name Paenibacillus sp. P22. Lineage: Bacteria; Bacillati; Bacillota; Bacilli; Caryophanales; Paenibacillaceae. The record is from RNAcentral.